GUAGGGUUCGGGAAGAACUAUACGUUUUGACCUGUGGAGGGCAGUACGCCAAGUGGCGUCUAAACUCGUAGAUCCUCAAGAAGAAGACUAGUACAUAUAACACGAGGCGAACGCUGACAAGUCCUUUCUGGUCUGAAGCAGCAAAUAACGAUUACGUGUUGAGGAAAAAAUACGGCUGUUUGUUGGUAAGACACAAGUCACAUUUUCUCAAUAAUGUCUCUUUUCAUAAUGUGUUGUGAUGAAACCUAAACUGAAAAUAGCUGGAAUUACCGUCAGAAGGUUCAGUGGUGAUGAUCGGUUUUCUGAGCACACUAAAUGUAUACCAAGUAUUUAAAACAUGUAUGAGCGGUUCCUUAACGGUGUGUGUCUUCUUAGGUGUUUUCCGAGGACUUCACAAAUUUAUGAUUACGUUGACGGAGGUUUGGACCGCUUUAUCCUUAAUCUUCAUAUUCAGACUUGUUUUCUUUGAACUGCUGUGUCCUAUGAAUUUCAUGUUUGUAUGUUGAGUGUAUUUAAGUCCUAUUAAAAGUUCUUCAUUCAAAUAUUGUGUUUUCAUUUAUCAUGUUUCUGUGGGUGGGGGAAAGUUCCUGACAUGUUA
This 598-nucleotide long non-coding RNA is filed under the name Sinocyclocheilus anshuiensis. Lineage: Eukaryota; Metazoa; Chordata; Actinopteri; Cypriniformes; Cyprinidae. The record is from RNAcentral.